This 240-nucleotide ribosomal RNA is filed under the name Helicobacter pylori. RNAcentral's name for it is "partial 16S ribosomal RNA". It matches the Rfam family "Bacterial small subunit ribosomal RNA", at positions 405 to 662 of the family's 1533-position model. Lineage: Bacteria; Pseudomonadati; Campylobacterota; Epsilonproteobacteria; Campylobacterales; Helicobacteraceae. The record is from RNAcentral.
AGGAUGAAGGUUUAAGGAUUGUAAACUCCUUUUGUUAGAGAAGAUAAUGACGGUAUCUAACGAAUAAGCACCGGCUAACUCCGUGCCAGCAGCCGCGGUAAUACGGAGGGUGCAAGCGUUACUCGGAAUCACUGGGCGUAAAGAGCGCGUAGGCGGGAUAGUCAGUCAGGUGUGAAAUCCUAUGGCUUAACCAUAGAACUGCAUUUGAAACUACUAUUCUAGAGUGUGGGAGAGGUAGGU